RNAcentral lists this long non-coding RNA (377 nucleotides) under Meriones unguiculatus (Mongolian gerbil). Its description in RNAcentral is "lncRNA (ENSMUGG00000009331.1)". Lineage: Eukaryota; Metazoa; Chordata; Mammalia; Rodentia; Muridae. The record is from RNAcentral.
UAUUUCACCACAACUUUUUUUUUUUUUUUUUUUUUUUUUUUCAGAAUUAAUGAAGCAACAGCUCAAGCAAGAGACGGCGAGAAAACAGGAGGGUAUGAAAAGUGAGACGACAGGAUGCAGGAAGGAGUCAGGCAAAGCUCACUUGCAGCCUAGCCAUGCAGAGAAGGAGACAGCAGCGUGAAAGUCAUCUGCUCCCCACUGCGGAGGCACCUCUUCCCUGUCUGAGGAGCACAGGUGUGAUCAAGGCAUCCUGAUCCUGGCUUGCCGAUUACAUGGAUGAUCCCGGAAUCUGCUUGCUGGAUUUUUGAAGCGAUCUCUUGUCAGUUCCUUUGCUGUGCCAGUUCUUGGGUGUAGUUCUGGGAGGCAGAAGCUUCCGA